CCUACGGGGGGCUGCAGUGGGGAAUAUUGCACAAUGGAGGGAACUCUGAUGCAGCGACGCCGCGUGAGUGAAGAAGUAAUUCGUUAUGUAAAGCUCUAUCAGCAGGGAAGAAAGUGACGGUACCUGAAAAAGAAGCUCCGGCUAAAUACGUGCCAGCAGCCGCGGUAAUACGUAUGGAGCAAGCGUUAUCCGGAUUUACUGGGUGUAAAGGGGGCGCAGACGGCAAUGCAAGCCAGGAGUGAAAGCCCGGGGCCCAACCCCGGGACUGCUCUUGGAACUGCAUGGCUGGAGUACAGGAGGGGCAGGCGGAAUUCCUAGUGUAGCGGUGAAAUGCGUAGAUAUUAGGAGGAACACCGGUGGCGAAGGCGGCCUGCUGGACUGUGACUGACGUUGAGGCCCGAAGGCGUGGGGAGCAAACAGGAUUAGAUACCCCAGUAGUC
This 440-nucleotide ribosomal RNA is filed under the name uncultured bacterium. RNAcentral describes it as "partial 16S ribosomal RNA". It matches the Rfam family "Bacterial small subunit ribosomal RNA", at positions 338 to 795 of the family's 1533-position model. The record is from RNAcentral.